RNAcentral lists this ribosomal RNA (423 nucleotides) under uncultured bacterium. RNAcentral describes it as "bacterial SSU rRNA". It matches the Rfam family "Bacterial small subunit ribosomal RNA", at positions 358 to 773 of the family's 1533-position model. The record is from RNAcentral.
GGAAUUUUGGACAAUGGGCGCAAGCCUGAUCCAGCCAUUCCGCGUGCAGGAUGAAGGCCCUCGGGUUGUAAACUGCUUUUGUACGGAACGAAAAGCCCUCUUCUAAUACCAGAGGGUCAUGACGGUACCGUAAGCAUAAGCACCGGCUAACUACGUGCCAGCCGCCGCGGUAAUACGUAGGGUGCAAGCGUUAAUCGGAAUUACUGGGCGUAAAGCGUGCGCAGGCGGUGAUGUAAGACAGAUGUGAAAUCCCCGGGCUCAACCUGGGAACUGCAUUUGUGACUGCAUCGCUGGAGUGCGGCAGAGAGGGAUGGAAUUCCGCGUGUAGCAGUGAAAUGCGUAGAUAUGCGGAGGAACACCGAUGGCGAAGGCAAUCCCCUGUGCCUGCACUGACGCUCAUGCACGAAAGCGUGGGGAGCAAAC